This 2904-nucleotide ribosomal RNA is filed under the name Klebsiella pneumoniae. RNAcentral's name for it is "23S ribosomal RNA". It matches the Rfam family "Bacterial large subunit ribosomal RNA". The record is from RNAcentral. Lineage: Bacteria; Pseudomonadati; Pseudomonadota; Gammaproteobacteria; Enterobacterales; Enterobacteriaceae.
GGUUAAGCGACUAAGCGUACACGGUGGAUGCCCUCGGCAGUCAGAGGCGAUGAAGGACGUGCUAAUCUGCGAAAAGCGUCGGUAAGGUGAUAUGAACCGUUAUAACCGGCGAUGUCCGAAUGGGGAAACCCAGUGCAAUUCGUUGCACUAUCGUUAACUGAAUACAUAGGUUAACGAGGCGAACCGGGGAACUGAAACAUCUAAGUACCCCGAGGAAAAGAAAUCAACCGAGAUUCCCCCAGUAGCGGCGAGCGAACGGGGAGCAGCCCAGAGUCUGAAUCAGCUUGUGUGUUAGUGGAACGGUCUGGAAAGUCCGACGGUACAGGGUGAUAGUCCCGUACACCAAAAUGCACAGGCUGUGAACUCGAAGAGUAGGGCGGGACACGUGGUAUCCUGUCUGAAUAUGGGGGACCAUCCUCCAAGGCUAAAUACUCCUGACUGACCGAUAGUGAACCAGUACCGUGAGGGAAAGGCGAAAAGAACCCCGGCGAGGGGAGUGAAAAAGAACCUGAAACCGUGUACGUACAAGCAGUGGGAGCACCUUCGGGUGUGACUGCGUACCUUUGUAUAAUGGGUCAGCGACUUAUAUUCUGUAGCAAGGUUAACCGUAUAGGGGAGCCGCAGGAAACCGAGUCUUAACUGGGCGUUAAGUUGCAGGGUAUAGACCCGAAACCCGGUGAUCUAGCCAUGGGCAGGUUGAAGGUUGGGUAACACUAACUGGAGGACCGAACCGACUAAUGUUGAAAAAUUAGCGGAUGACUUGUGGCUGGGGGUGAAAGGCCAAUCAAACCGGGAGAUAGCUGGUUCUCCCCGAAAGCUAUUUAGGUAGCGCCUCGUGAACUCAUCUUCGGGGUAGAGCACUGUUUCGGCUAGGGGUCAUCCCGACUUACCAACCCGAUGCAAACUACGAAUACCGAAGAAUGUUAUCACGGGAGACACACGGCGGGUGCUAACGUCCGUCGUGAAGAGGGAAACAACCCAGACCGCCAGCUAAGGUCCCAAAGUCAUGGUUAAGUGGGAAACGAUGUGGGAAGGCACAGACAGCCGGGAUGUUGGCUUAGAAGCAGCCAUCAUUUAAAGAAAGCGUAAUAGCUCACUGGUCGAGUCGGCCUGCGCGGAAGAUGUAACGGGGCUAAACCAUGCACCGAAGCUGCGGCAGCGACACUAUGUGUUGUUGGGUAGGGGAGCGUUCUGUAAGCCUGCGAAGGUGUGCUGUGAGGCAUGCUGGAGGUAUCAGAAGUGCGAAUGCUGACAUAAGUAACGAUAAAGCGGGUGAAAAGCCCGCUCGCCGGAAGACCAAGGGUUCCUGUCCAACGUUAAUCGGGGCAGGGUGAGUCGACCCCUAAGGCGAGGCCGAAAGGCGUAGUCGAUGGGAAACAGGUUAAUAUUCCUGUACUUGGUGUUACUGCGAAGGGGGGGACGGAGAAGGCUAUGUUAGCCGGGCGACGGUUGUCCCGGUUUAAGCAUGUAGGCUGAUUGUCCGAGGCAAAUCCGGAUAAUCAAGGCUGAGGUGUGAUGACGAGGCACUACGGUGCUGAAGUAACAAAUGCCCUGCUUCCGAGGAAAAGCCUCUAAGCAUCAGGUAACAUUAAAUCGUACCCCAAACCGACACAGGUGGUCAGGUAGAGAAUACCAAGGCGCUUGAGAGAACUCGGGUGAAGGAACUAGGCAAAAUGGUGCCGUAACUUCGGGAGAAGGCACGCUGGUGUGUAGGUGAAGUCCCUGCGGAUGGAGCUGAGACCAGUCGAAGAUACCAGCUGGCUGCAACUGUUUAUUAAAAACACAGCACUGUGCAAACACGAAAGUGGACGUAUACGGUGUGACGCCUGCCCGGUGCCGGAAGGUUAAUUGAUGGGGUUAUCCGUAAGGAGAAGCUCUUGAUCGAAGCCCCGGUAAACGGCGGCCGUAACUAUAACGGUCCUAAGGUAGCGAAAUUCCUUGUCGGGUAAGUUCCGACCUGCACGAAUGGCGUAAUGAUGGCCGGGGCUGUCUCCACCCGAGACUCAGUGAAAUUGAACUCGCUGUGAAGAUGCAGUGUACCCGCGGCAAGACGGAAAGACCCCGUGAACCUUUACUAUAGCUUGACACUGAACAUUGAGCCUUGAUGUGUAGGAUAGGUGGGAGGCUUUGAAGCGUGGACGCCAGUCUGCGUGGAGCCAACCUUGAAAUACCACCCUUUAAUGUUUGAUGUUCUAACGUUGGCCCCUGACCGGGGUUGCGGACAGUGUCUGGUGGGUAGUUUGACUGGGGCGGUCUCCUCCCAAAGCGUAACGGAGGAGCACGAAGGUUAGCUAAUCCCCGGUCGGACAUCAGGAGGUUAGUGCAAUGGCAUAAGCUAGCUUGACUGCGAGCGUGACGGCGCGAGCAGGUGCGAAAAAGCAGGUCAUAGUGAUCCGGUGGUUCUGAAUGGAAGGGCCAUCGCUCAACGGAUAAAAGGUACUCCGGGGAUAACAGGCUGAUACCGCCCAAGAGUUCAUAUCGACGGCGGUGUUUGGCACCUCGAUGUCGGCUCAUCACAUCCUCGGGGCUGAAGUAGGUCCCAAGGGUAUGGCUGUUCGCCAUUUAAAGUGGUACGCGAGCUGGGUUUAGAACGUCGUGAGACAGUUCGGUCCCUAUCUGCCGUGGGCGCUGGAGAAUUGAGGGGGCUGCUCCUAGUACGAGAGGACCGGAGUGGACGCAUCACUGGUGUUCGGGUUGUCAUGCCAAUGGCACUGCCCGGUAGCUAAAUGCGGAAGAGAUAAGUGCUGAAAGCAUCUAAGCACGAAACUUGCCCCGAGAUGAGUUCUCCCUGAGACUUUAAGUCUCCUGAAGGAACGUUAAAGACGAUGACGUUGAUAGGCCGGGUGUGUAAGCGCAGCGAUGCGUUGAGCUAACCGGUACUAAUGAACCGUGAGGCUUAACCUU